GGUUAGAUGAAAGUUGUCCAUGGGGUUUCUGACCUCAAUGCAAUUUUAUGCUUUCAAUGGAUUGUUGACGUGGAAAAAGGUCUUAAUGAAGCAGAAACGACAUUUCAUGCCUUUGGUCCAGAAGAAGGGGCUGGCUGACAUGUAAAUAAUAUGCCUCAGGAAACAAAUUUAUUUUUCAAGACUUCUGAGGCAGUUGUAUCGGUGCUAUAUAGCAUUUAAAUGACAACAAACUCUGUCCUCACUGAUAACGGAUGGCUGUUAGAAACACUUUUCUUCUCCUUAGAAUAAUAAUAUCUUUUGGAUCCUUCUUCGAACCUGGACAUGGAGAACGGUUGACCAAUCAUCUUUGGCAUUUGGCCAUUGGGCCUGAGAGAUAGCCAGCAUCAGUAGAGUGCCAGGGAUGGUGACAAAGCAGAUAGUUACUUGUGCUUAGACAUAGCUCUCUACUAUCUGAAGAAAAAUAAACCUCCCAUUCUCACAGUGACAAAUGAAGGAUCAAGCCUGCAUAGUUCCAAGCCUUUACUUCUUGUAUAGCGUGGAAAUAACUCCAUUCUGUCUCACCAAUGCCCUGGAGUAUGAGAGCAGGACUUGGGGUUCUUGACUUUUUGCUUAUGGCUGACAGCUGUCAGAGCUGCUAUAUUCAAGUGUCCCCCACAGUUGCCCUGUGCUGAGGCACAAAGUCUUCCUAUGACUUCUCAAUAAUCCAGGUUUGCUACCUACCCUUGAAGUUCCUUUAGGCCUACCAUGACUUUGCAGUUCUUUCUUUAUUGGUACUAUCUAUUUUUUGUCAAUGUAUUUAUAGUUAGAGUUAAUGCCUAGGAACUAUCCCAUAAUCCUAGUAAUUACUAUCUGUAAAAUUAAGUAACUGAAAUGUUUUCUCUUAAUAGCUCUCUAAUCAUACCGCUUUAAAUCUCUCUUCCCAUUCAAUCACAUCUGUAAACAUCAUCAUGGUAAUAAAACUUAGAAGAAUAUACAGAAGUAAAUAUCCAUGAUCUUGGGUUAGGAAAUGAUUUCUUAGAUGCAACAGGAAAAGCACAAGUAGUAAAAGACUAUUAACUUGGGCUUCAUCAAAAUUAAAGAACUUUUGUGCAUCAAAGGACACCAGCAGGAAGGUGUAAAGACAGUCUGCAGACUGGGAAAAAAAAAUUGCAAAUCAUAUAUUUGAAAAUAAAUCCAGACUCUAUAAAGAACUGUUACAACUCCAUAAUAAAAUGACAAUCCAAUUUUAAAAUGGGCAAAGGAUAAGAAUACAUAUUUCUUUUAA
Molecule: long non-coding RNA, 1264 nt
Organism: Prionailurus viverrinus (fishing cat)
Lineage: Eukaryota; Metazoa; Chordata; Mammalia; Carnivora; Felidae
Exons: 3
Source: RefSeq, a predicted model, not a curated record